RNAcentral lists this long non-coding RNA (330 nucleotides) under Homo sapiens (human). RNAcentral's name for it is "HSALNT0044584". The record is from RNAcentral. Lineage: Eukaryota; Metazoa; Chordata; Mammalia; Primates; Hominidae.
UGUAGAAGUAGGUGCCUUAAAGCAUAAACAUAACACUGUUUUGACUGGAAUUUGCCUAUUUGACAUGGUUUCUUCUCAAAGUAUUACAUUUAAAAUACUGAUCUCAAGGUAUUGCAUUUAAAAGUGCUACACAGUGUGUUACUUAGUGAGAAUAUGCUCAGGGAGAUGAACUCCUCCCUCUUUUUACAGCCAAAUUAAGCUACCAACUAAAGCAUAAUUAAAAAAAGUGAUAUCCCUUUCGUUCUGUCUUCUGGUUAUUUGGGGAGCAAUAAUAAUGAAAUUCUCAACUCACAUCAAUAAAUAUUAUUUCAUUCAUUAUUAAUAGAGCCU